This is a long non-coding RNA of Boleophthalmus pectinirostris (great blue-spotted mudskipper), 722 nucleotides long. RefSeq lists it as uncharacterized. The record is from RefSeq and is a predicted model, not a curated record. NCBI's taxonomy places the organism in Eukaryota, Metazoa, Chordata, Actinopteri, Gobiiformes, Gobiidae. The transcript is spliced from 3 exons.
UUGACCGACAGGACGCACGUCGUGGAGGCUGUGACAGUACAAACAUAUCACGUUUCAAGAGCCCUAUCGCGUUUUCUACGUGUUUAAAUCGCUCAUAAAACAUUAGAAAGACAAACUCGGAUCUGUUUUGAGUUUGUCACGACACACCGGGGUAAAAGCUGUUGAAACAAGGCGUCAACUUCUGCAUAGUUACAACUUUUACUAUCGCUAUUCUUGCGCGUAAAAUGCAAACAACUACACAGAAACGCUCGCAUUCACCGUAAAUAAGGGAUGAAGGAUACGAAAAUGAGCCCGUAAAAUGGUGUUAAAGAGACAUUAAAAUAAGGAAAAGCCCGUUUUAGGAGCGGAGUUUACCUACCCACCCGCAUCUUCUCGGUCGUGCUGUAUUUCUGUCGGAGGAGGAGCGCAGAGCAUGCUGGGAAGCGUCACGGAUCGGGUAGGAGGAGGAGGAGACACGCGGCGCGGAUAGCAACAGAUCUGUAUGGCUCGUGAAGACAUGUUCUGUAUUUACACAGAAAUAUCCUUGUCUUCUUGGAGUGAGUCUGAGCUGCCUCUUGUUUACACUUCAUCCUGUGUUUGUGGCAUCUGACCUUACACUGUCCAGAGAAACUGCUUUCAACUUAUAAACCUCAACCCAACAAGGUCAAAGGACGACUCCAGAGACCUGAGGCCCAGAGAGAGGAAGAGCUGCGUGUGGAGAAUACAGAAAUGUGUGUGGAGAC